GUGGGGAAUAUUGCACAAUGGGGGAAACCCUGAUGCAGCGACGCCGCGUGAGUGAAGAAGUAUUUCGGUACGUAAAGCUCUAUCAGCAAGGAAGAAAAUGACGGUACUUGACUAAGAAGCCCCGGCUAACUACGUGCCAGCAGCCGCGGUAAUACGUAGGGGGCAAGCGUUAUCCGGAUUUACUGGGUGUAAAGGGAGCGUAGACGGUAUGGUAAGUCAGAUGUGAAAGCCCGGGGCUCAACCCCGGGACUGCAUUUGAAACUAUCAGACUAGAGUGCAGGAGAGGUAAGUGGAAUUCCUAGUGUAGCGGUGAAAUGCGUAGAUAUUAGGAGGAACACCAGUGGCGAAGGCGGCUUACUGGACUGUAACUGACGUUGAGGCUCGAAAGCGUGGGGAGCAAACAGGAUUAGAUACCCUUGUAGUCC
RNAcentral lists this ribosomal RNA (425 nucleotides) under uncultured bacterium. RNAcentral's name for it is "partial 16S ribosomal RNA". It matches the Rfam family "Bacterial small subunit ribosomal RNA", at positions 354 to 796 of the family's 1533-position model. The record is from RNAcentral.